GCUAAUACCGGAUAAGAAAGCAGAUCGCUAUGAUCAGACUUUUAAAAAGGCGGCGUAAGCUGUCGCUAUGGGAUGGCCCGCGGUGCAUUAGCUAGUUGGUAAGGUAAAGGCUUACCAAGGCGAUGAUGCAUAGCCCGAGUUGAGAGACUGAUCGGGCCACAUUGGGGACUGAGACACGGGGCCCAAACUCCUACGGGGGGAGGGGGCAGCAGUAGGGGGAAUCUUCCACAAUGGACGCAAGUCUGAUGGAGCAACGCCGCGUGAGUGAAGUAAGGUUUUCGGAUCGUAAAGCUCUGUUGUUGGUGAAGAAGGAUAGAGGUAGUAACUGGCCUUUAUUUGACGGUAAUCAACCAGAAAGUCACGGCUAACUACGUGCCAGCAGCCGCGGUAAU
This 392-nucleotide ribosomal RNA is filed under the name uncultured Lactobacillus sp. RNAcentral's name for it is "bacterial SSU rRNA". It matches the Rfam family "Bacterial small subunit ribosomal RNA", at positions 162 to 524 of the family's 1533-position model. Lineage: Bacteria; Bacillati; Bacillota; Bacilli; Lactobacillales; Lactobacillaceae. The record is from RNAcentral.